Molecule: ribosomal RNA, 468 nt
Filed under: uncultured bacterium
Lineage: Bacteria
Description: partial 16S ribosomal RNA
Rfam family: Bacterial small subunit ribosomal RNA
Source: RNAcentral
GACGAACGCUGGCGGCGUGCUUAACACAUGCAAGUCGAACGGAAAGGCCCUGCUUUUGUGGGGUGCCCGAGUGGCGAACGGGGGAGUAACACGUGAGUAUCCUGCUCUUGAUUUUGGGAUAACUUCAGGAAACUGGGGCUACUACCGGAUAGCAGAUCCUGCUGCAUGGUGGGGGUUGGAAAGUUUCGGCGGUGGUGGUUGGAUUCGCGGCUUAUCAGCUUGUUGGUGGGGUAGUGGCUUACCAAGGCUUUGACGGGUAGCUGGCCUGAGAAGGUGACCGGCCACAUUGGGACUGAGAUACGGCCCAGACUCCUACGGGAGGCAGCAGUGGGGAAUAUUGCACAAUGGGCGGAGGCCUGAUGCAGCAACGCCGCGUGCGGGAUGACGGCCUUCGGGUUGUAAACCGCUUUCGCCUGUGACGAAGCGUGAGUGACGGUAAUGGGUAAAGAAGCACCGGCUAACUACGUG